CCGGGCCGGCGGAGGCGGCGGCAGCAACGGGCGGGGGAGGGGGGGCUGAUCCCGCGUCUCCCCUCAGCAGACAAUACAAGCGCCUCGGAGCGAGUCCCCGAACCUGCCCUAGCCAAAAUGGCGGCCGAGAAAGAGCGGAAGUGACAAGGCCGGCUGUUGCCCUGGGACUGGACAUUCUUCCGAAUCAGUGAUGGACUCUUCUCUUUGGCCUGAAGAAAACAAGUGGGAUCCCUAGCGUUUGAGGCCACUGGGCUGGUGAAGCCCAAGGAUGUGAAAUGAUGUUGCCAGUGGGCCUCCACAAGAUCCUUAAAAACCAGACUGUAGUCCCAAGCCUUUUAGUGCCCCCACAAUUUGCACAGCAUAGGACACAACGUGGGCCUUUGUAAAUUUAGGUCAACCCCAACCAACACAUUGUGUUCUCAACAUUCUUGAAUCCACCUUUUAUAGUUGAGUGCAUAUGAGUGUCUAUCACUGGCUAGACAUACUUAAAAGUAAUAAAUGUCAAUUGUGAAGGAUUAA
Long non-coding RNA from Aethalodelphis obliquidens (Pacific white-sided dolphin), 519 nucleotides. RefSeq lists it as uncharacterized. Lineage: Eukaryota; Metazoa; Chordata; Mammalia; Artiodactyla; Delphinidae. The transcript is spliced from 2 exons. The record is from RefSeq and is a predicted model, not a curated record.